GAGUUUGAUCAUGGCUCAGAGCGAACGCUGGCGGCAGGCUUAACACAUGCAAGUCGAGCGGGCGUAGCAAUACGUCAGCGGCAGACGGGUGAGUAACGCGUGGGAACGUACCUUUUGGUUCGGAACAACCCAGGGAAACUUGGGCUAAUACCGGAUAAGCCCUUACGGGGAAAGAUUUAUCGCCGAAAGAUCGGCCCGCGUCUGAUUAGCUAGUUGGUGAGGUAAUGGCUCACCAAGGCGACGAUCAGUAGCUGGUCUGAGAGGAUGGUCAGCCACAUUGGGACUGAGACACGGCCCAAACUCCUACGGGAGGCAGCAGUGGGGAAUAUUGGACAAUGGGGGCGAACCCUGAUCCAGCCAUGCCGCGUGAGUGAUGAAGGCCCUAGAGUUGUAAAGCUCUUUUGUGCGGGAAGAUAAUGACGGUACCGCAAGAAUAAGCCCCGGCUAACUUCGUGCCAGCCGCCGCCGUAAC
RNAcentral lists this ribosomal RNA (472 nucleotides) under uncultured Alphaproteobacteria bacterium. RNAcentral's name for it is "bacterial SSU rRNA". It matches the Rfam family "Bacterial small subunit ribosomal RNA", at positions 9 to 524 of the family's 1533-position model. Lineage: Bacteria; Pseudomonadati; Pseudomonadota; Alphaproteobacteria. The record is from RNAcentral.